This 253-nucleotide ribosomal RNA is filed under the name uncultured bacterium. RNAcentral describes it as "partial 16S ribosomal RNA". It matches the Rfam family "Bacterial small subunit ribosomal RNA", at positions 524 to 776 of the family's 1533-position model. The record is from RNAcentral.
UACGGGGGGGGCAAGCGUUGUUCGGAAUUACUGGGCGUAAAGGGCUCGUAGGCGGCCAACUAAGUCGGACGUGAAAUCCCCAGGCUCAACCUGGGAACUGCAUCCGAUACUGGAUGGCUUGAAUUCGGGAGAGGGAUGCAGAAUUCCAGGUGUAGCGGUGAAAUGCGUAGAUAUCUGGAGGAAUACCGGUGGCGAAGGCGGCAUCCUGGACCAACAUUGACGCUGAGGAGCGAAAGCCAGGGGAGCAAACGGG